This 474-nucleotide ribosomal RNA is filed under the name Corbicula fluminea. Its description in RNAcentral is "partial 16S ribosomal RNA". It matches the Rfam family "Bacterial large subunit ribosomal RNA", at positions 1819 to 2597 of the family's 2925-position model. Lineage: Eukaryota; Metazoa; Mollusca; Bivalvia; Venerida; Cyrenidae. The record is from RNAcentral.
GGCCUUUUGGGGAUUUAUAUAAAAGGUUGGGCCUGCCCGGUGAUCUGAAAUGGUUUAACGGCUGCGAUUGAAACCGNUACUAAGGUAGCAUAAUAAUUUGCCCUUUAAUUGGGGGAGAGAAUGAAUGGUUUGACGGUAAAAAAGCUGUUUUAAAAAUAAAAAAAGAAGUUAACUUUUAAGUGAAAAGGCUUAAGUUUUUAUAAAAGACGAGAAGACCCCGUCGAGCUUAAUUAGAAUAACUUAAAUGUAGGUUAUUUAAAAUUUUAUUGGGGCAAUAGAAAAUGAAAUGAAUCAUUUUUUUUAUUAUAAGGAUCCAGUUUUGACUGAAAAAAGCAAAAGCUACCGCGGGGAUAACAGGGUAAUUUUUUCUGAGAGUUCAUAUUUAAGAAGAAGUUUGCUACCUCGAUGUUGGAUUAGAAUUUCUUUAUGCUUGCAGCAGGUAUAAUAGUAGGACUGUUCGUCCUUUAAAAUUUU